UAAAAAUGUAAAAUUUUAACUAAAAAAUUAGUAGUUAUGAUCUUUAAAUUUAAAAAAUUUGGCGGUAUUUUAGUCUAUUCAGAGGAACCUGUUCUAUAAUUGAUAAUCCACGAUUAGAAAUACUUAAUUUAAAAGUUUGUAUAUCGUUGUUUAAAUAAUUUUAUAAGAAAAAUAAUUAUUAAAGUAUUUAAUUAGAUAAAUAAUCAAAUCAAGGUGCAGUUUAUAUUUAAGAAGAAAUGGGUUACAAUAAAAAUUAUUUAUAUGAAUUAUAUUAUUAAAUUAAUAUAUAAAGGAGGAUUUGAUAGUAAAUAUAUAUAUAUAUAUAUAUUGAUUUAAGCUCUAUAAUAUGU
RNAcentral lists this ribosomal RNA (350 nucleotides) under Orectogyrus leroyi wittei. Its description in RNAcentral is "partial 12S ribosomal RNA". The record is from RNAcentral. Lineage: Eukaryota; Metazoa; Arthropoda; Insecta; Coleoptera; Gyrinidae.